GGUACAGUAGUACACCUCUGAUCAGAGUAUAAUCUAUUUGAAUAGUCGUGCCGAUGGUUACGGGCGAACUUCCAGCUUCACUGUGAUUAGUUGAACCUUUAAUGACUUAGGUAAACUGGCUUUCACUUGGGACUACUGCAACGUGGUGUAACGUUGAGUAGUAAUUGGGUUUGUCGCAACGUGGUGUAACGUUGGACAGUGUUGUGGUAUCUUUACAACUGUUUUAUAUUCAAUCCUUUAUUUACUUAAUUACUUUUAUUCAAUUUAAUCUUUGUUAUUCAUUUAAAAUGCUACUUUAU
Molecule: long non-coding RNA, 299 nt
Filed under: Oryza brachyantha (malo sina)
Lineage: Eukaryota; Viridiplantae; Streptophyta; Magnoliopsida; Poales; Poaceae
Description: long non-coding RNA (OBRA_LNC001021)
Source: RNAcentral